GAUGAACGCUGGCGGCGUGCCUAAUACAUGCAAGUCGAGCGAACGGACGAGAAGCUUGCUUCUCUGAUGUUAGCGGCGGACGGGUGAGUAACACGUGGAUAACCUACCUAUAAGACUGGGAUAACUUCGGGAAACCGUAGCUAAUACCGGAUAAUAUUUUGAACCGCAUGGUUCAAAAGUGAAAGACGGUCUUGCUGUCACUUAUAGAUAGCUCCGCGCUGCAUUAGCUAGUUGGUAAGGUAACGGCUUACCAAGGCAACGAUGCAUAGCCGACCUGAGAGGGUGAUCGGCCACACUGGAACUGAGACACGGUCCAGACUCCUACGGGAGGCAGCAGUAGGGAAUCUUCCGCAAGGGGCGAAAGCCUGACGGGGCAACGCCGCGGGAGUGAUGAAGGUCUUCGGAUCGUAAAACUCUUUUAUUAGGGAAGAACAUAUGUGUAAGUAACUGUGCACAUCUUGACGGUACCUAAUCAGAAAGCCACGGCUAACUACGUG
Molecule: ribosomal RNA, 497 nt
Filed under: uncultured bacterium
Lineage: Bacteria
Description: partial 16S ribosomal RNA
Rfam family: Bacterial small subunit ribosomal RNA
Source: RNAcentral